CCAAAAAAAAAAAAAAAAAAAUCAGUAAUUAAUAGUAUCCAAAAUGGAGGAGAUCACUCGCAAAACCACCACUCCUCUUCCUCUGCUUUCUUUGCUAUAAAGAUUUUUUUUCUUUUUUUUCUAUAGAGUAGUCAUGAUCAGAGCCAGAGAGCACCAGCCUCCUUAAGGAGAGGCACAAGAGUACCAUUAAUAUGAGAAGCCAUGACUCUAUCCAUGGCACCCACGAGUUUGCCACCAAUGAACACAACAGGAACAGCAGAUGAGCUCCCAAGAAGCCUCAUGAGAGCCUCCUCCAUCUCCUUCCCUCUGGGGUCCUCGUCUAGCUCAUGCACUGUUGGGUUCACCCCCAUACCACAGAAGAGCCUCUUUACGGCAUGGCACAUGCAGCAUGUGCUUAUGCUAAAGAUUACCACAGCAUUCUCUGAGGCUAACCACUCUAUGAGUUCCAAUGGGUCACCAACAUUUCUUGGUGGCAAAUAAGACCCCCAAGAUGAGUCCGUCUGAUACAUUUUUCUAUCGAGAAAUGGAAAGACAAUGAGGCAGCAGCAGCAGCAGCAGAAGCUAGCAAGAAAUGGAAAGAACCAAGGUGUGUGUGUCUAUAUAUAUAUUAAACAACUCUUCUCUGGAAUAGUCUUGGGUAAGUGAAGGUGAACUUCUCUGGAAUAGUCUUGGGUAAGUGAAGGUGAA
RNAcentral lists this unclassified non-coding RNA (687 nucleotides) under Hevea brasiliensis (rubber tree). The record is from RNAcentral. Lineage: Eukaryota; Viridiplantae; Streptophyta; Magnoliopsida; Malpighiales; Euphorbiaceae.